Molecule: long non-coding RNA, 4149 nt
Organism: Ictalurus punctatus (channel catfish)
Lineage: Eukaryota; Metazoa; Chordata; Actinopteri; Siluriformes; Ictaluridae
Source: Ensembl
AAGUGAACAGUCAGUUCUCAAAGUCGAUGUGUUGGAAGCAAGAAAAAUGGGCAAGUGUAAGGAUCUGAGCGACUUUGACAAGGGCCAAAUUGUGACGGAUAGAUGACCAGGUGGCGGUAACACACCAUAACUUUAGUUGUCAAACCGCCUCAAUUCAGAAGAAGAAGAAGAGGAGCAGCAGGAGGGGCAACAGUAGAAGAGAGAAUCUCGUAUGUACUCCCGUGUGUUAAAUAAGUUAACUUAUUUACAGAAGUUAUUGUUGUUGUUUUUGUAAGUAAUCACACUUAUAUACGGUGUUUCUCGGAGACGCCCUCGUUUACACUAGUCCAUACCGCCAGGUGGCGGUAAAUACACCACAAGAACCCGAGAACCGCCUCAAUUCAAAGAAGAAGAAGAAGAAGCAGUAGAAAAGAACACGCAUGCGCAGAAGCUGUAUAUUCUCCAGACGGCACGUGGGAAUGUCUGUGCUCAGAGAAAGGUAUUGUACUUACUGAAAAAGCCAUUCGCGUUAACAAGAAAGGAAAAAAAAAAAAUCAGUGUUUCCAGAUUCUGAUUGUAAAACCUGUUUCUUAAAUCAGUUCUUCAUAUUACAAUUAUUAUCCCCAGAUGUUUCCUGUCUGCGUAAAGUCAGACUGCAGCACUGCAGACGAGCACGUGCUUGGAGGUGACGAAAAGGAGGAAGGUUAAUCUUUUUACUGCACACCAAUUCAUGGUGUUUCAAAAGAGAUCCGAGAUAGUUCAAAUCUUAAGGAAAAGAAAAGUCUGCAUUGACUGAGAUUGCCCCCUCUCCGUAAUCCCCCAGAGUCCCUGACUGCAUGGGAUUCUCGAAGGUCAAGAUCUGUUGGAGAGGUGAUGGAUUUUGUAAACUCGAGCUCCAGUGUGCUGUGGCGUAGGAGGCUGUUAUGUUUGUGAUUCUGUGGAUGUUACUGCACUACACAUUCUCCUAAUCUUAUGUCCAUGUUUAUUAAAUUACUACAUUAAAACUACUGAAAUUCUAACCACUUAUGGCUGAGUGUGAUUUUUUAUUAUUUUUGUUGCUCUGAUUUUUCUGAUCAAUAAUUUUGAAUGUAGUGUGUUUGUACUGUUUAAAAUACCUCACAACUGACUUUUGUUUGAUUAAAGAAUUGAAGACACAUUUAAUAAUGGUUGCUAAGUUAUGAGUUUUUUUUUUUAUGUUGGAACACUGUCACAUUGAGAUUUUAAAUAUGUUCUAACAAAUAUGCACAGAAACAUGUCUGUGAUGUCUCUUACGGCUAGCGAUAUGAGCCACGUGAUACCACAGUGCACCAUCCUCACACCAUGUCUCUAGGACCCUUUGAUUGGUAUCCAUCUUAUGCCUGAUUAUAAAUAUAAUAAACUCACGAUUGCCAUUGCGCAGUGAUUGUUAAACUUACUUUAAAUAAAACAAUCUUAAGACAACUUAUUCUGAAAUGUUAUUUAGUUUGAGCUAAAAUUAAUACAACGAUCUAAAAGUUUAAGGUAAAAGUUUUGCUCAUUCACUGUAAGCUACUUUCCAGUAUCAUGUCAGACAUUACAGAUAACUAUUUGGCCUGCUUUGUAUAAUAUAGUGCUUUCAUUAAUUUAUUUCUAUUUAUUUAGCUGUUCAUUUCAAUCAUUUCACUCCCAACAAGUUUGCCAAUGAAAUUCUGCCCAAAAUCAGGCACUUAAAUGUACAACUAAAUGGGUCCUCCGAGAGCCGUUGAUUUUGAAUCAUCCAUUCGGAUCAAUACAGGAAGCGACACGAUUUGGGGCUUGUGCAGAAUAUGGUACAACACGUACAGUAGUGACGUAGUCUCUUGUUGACUUUUGCUUUCAGUUCAGUAGUACCAGAUUCUGCGUUACUGUUUACGCCUGGCUGAAUGCGCAGGUGUCACGCGUUUAACACCGAUUAAUGCAGCAUUGAUGUCAUCAUGGACCCAAUGGUUAUUGAAGUUCAUGGAGUUCCCUGCAUUCCUCCUCAUGACCGGAUGGUUGAUCAGCUAAAGAUACACUUCCUGAAGCGGAGGAAUAGUGGUGGUGAUGUUUUAACAGUGAUUUAUCCAACUUCUGCUCCAGGCCAGGCAUAUGUCAUAUUUGAAUCAACUGAAGUUCCUGGAGUCUUGGCACAUACUCAUGUUCUAGAUGUUGACAACAGAUUUUAUCCAAUACACGUAAAGAAAGCUCAUUUGUCUGAGGUGGACAUGAAAGUUAAGACCAUGCUGGACUUGAGGAUGUUCCCAAAGCCAGAAUCAGUCUUGAAGCUCCUUAACAAUUAUGGCUUUAACGUAACAGAAUCCAGUUCAGGUCAUGUCCAGUUGAAGGGCUCCUUCUUGAAACUAAAGCUCAUACACAGUGAACUCAUACAGCUUCAGGGUCACGGACAUCACUCCCAUAGUAAAUCUCCAUCUGCUAUUCACAAUGGCUCCUCUUUGGGGUAUGACAUGGAGCGUAAGAGUUUGGAUCCCAGAUUUUGUUCCAAGUCCACAUCGAGGAAUAUGGAUAAAAUGGAUGCUGUCAGUCAGCAGCAGUUACUUGAUAAUGCACUGUCAUCUUCAUAUAGAGAUUCGGCAUCUGGUGGAUCUCCCAGGAGUCUUCAAAGCAGACAUUCAUCCUACACUGAAAGAAAUGCAAGCAGCCCAAUGGAUGCUGCUGUUCAAAAAUUUCAAAGACUGGACAGCAACGAACUGCUUGCUCAGAGACGGAGCCCCCAUGCUGAUGGUGCAUCAUCAUUAUCAGCAAAUUCUCCAUCUAGUCUCACAUCGCUACACCACACAUCUCCAUUGUAUAAUGAUUCAGCCUCAGGUGGAUACCCCAGGAGUCUUCACAGCAGCUACUACUCCUCUAUUGGAAGUACUAGCUAUAAAGUGGACACUGAUAUCCCAGACUAUGUGCACACGCAACAGCAAAACGUCAUGAGCAAUGAAAUGCUUGCUCAUAGAAGGAGCCACCUUGUUGAUGUUCCAUCCUCGUCAAAAACCUCUACAUACAGCCCCACAAUGCAACACCACACAUCUUAUAGAUAUUCACCCUCAAAUGGAUCUCUUAGGAACUUCCAAGAUGAUACUAGGGCCAGGUCCACUCACACCAGUCCCUCAUCCUCCAGUUUAGGAAUGGCAAGCUUUCCAGUGGACACAGAUAUCAUAAACUUUAUACUCACCCAACGGCAGAAUGAUCUUAAGCGGAUUAGGAAGGACUAUGGUACUGAGAUGAAUAUAAAAGAUGGUGUUGGCUUUACAACGGUCACGUUUUUGGGAAAUAACAGUGAGAAAGCUGAAGCAUGUCUUCUGAACCUCAUUGAGGAGAUCGGACCUUCACUGCGCACCCAAGAAAUACAUCUGAAGGAAUAUGACAGUGUUAAAAAAAGCAGAUCCUUGAGAGAAUCGAAGGUAAUAAAGACUCGGGUGUUUCCAUCACACACACUGAUGAUGUUGUAAAGCUGGUGGGAGACUCAAGAGGAAGCUUUGAGAUGAUGCAAAAGCUACUAGGACACAAUGAUGCCUCUCAUAGAGGAAGGGCCAUGGAGAGGGGCUCAAAAUCCAGGAGAAGCUCUUCUCUACCCAGACAGUAUAAGAUGGCUGCCAAUGCCCGUGUUACCACUCCUGAAAAUCAGACAAGUGCUGCAAGAAAAUACUCUCCUUCACAUUAUCAAGAGAAAUCAGAUGAAGGAAAAGCUCAGCAGAUUGUUCAAGGCCCUGAACAGACUCCAGACAAGAAGUCCCAACGGACACGCAGCAAUUCAGAGUCUCGAGACAAAAACAGGACAACCAAGGAGCAGGCGUUACCUCAAGUGGAAUUAGAGUCGCCAGGUCGAGGAAAGAAGUCCCUAAAAGAGUAUGGCAUUAACUUCCUAAAACGACUCGAUCCAAAUACUAAAAAUAUUGAUUAUAGAAUGGCUAUGCGUAAAAAAAGUCAUUCUACACCCAAAAACCCUGACUAAAUUGCUGUUUGCUGAUAUACAGAAAGUCAGCAAAAUUAUUAAAAAGUAUUCUAUGAUCUUCAGUACACACUGUUCAUGUGCAUUUUAGGUGAUUUCUUUUAUUUUUAUAAUCAAGAUAUUUGUAAUGUUAAACAAUAAAUAAACUACAUUUCAUGGUUUUGAACAAUGUAUCCUACAAUAACUAACCAGCACUGAUUUAUUAUUUCUGGAAUAAAAAAAAAUGUAAAGUCAUG